This 253-nucleotide ribosomal RNA is filed under the name uncultured bacterium. Its description in RNAcentral is "partial 16S ribosomal RNA". It matches the Rfam family "Bacterial small subunit ribosomal RNA", at positions 524 to 776 of the family's 1533-position model. The record is from RNAcentral.
UACGGGGGGGGCAAGCGUUGUUCGGAAUUACUGGGCGUAAAGGGCUCGUAGGUGGCCAACUAAGUCAGACGUGAAAUCCCUCGGCUUAACCGGGGGACUGCGUCUGAUACUGGAUGGCUUGAGUUUGGGAGAGGGACGCGGAAUUCCAGGUGUAGCGGUGAAAUGCGUAGAUAUCCGGAGGAACACCAGUGGCGAAAGCGGCCACCUGGACUGCACCUGACGCUGACGCGCGAAAGCUAGGGGAGCGAACGGG